RNAcentral lists this ribosomal RNA (1372 nucleotides) under uncultured bacterium. RNAcentral's name for it is "partial 16S ribosomal RNA". It matches the Rfam family "Bacterial small subunit ribosomal RNA", at positions 28 to 1381 of the family's 1533-position model. The record is from RNAcentral.
GAUGAACGCUGGCGGCGUGCCUUAUACAUGCAAGUCGAGCGAACACACGAGGAGCUUGCUCCUCUGACGUUAGCGGCGGACAGGUGAGAACCACGUGGAUCACCUACCUAUAAUACUGGAAUAACUUCCUGAAACCGGAGCUAAUACCAGAUAAUAUAUUGAACCGCAUGGUUCAAUGCUGAAAGACGGCUUUGCUGUCACUUAUAGAUGGAUCCGCGCCUCAUUACCUAGCUGGUAAGGUAACUACUUACCAACGGAACGAUGCGUAGCCGACCUGAGAGGGUGAUCGGCCACACUGGAACUGAGGAACGGUCCAUACUCCUACUGGAGGCAGCAAUAGGGAAUCUUCCGCAAUGUGCCAAAGCCUGACAGAGCAACGCCGCGUGAGUGAUGAAUGUCUUCUGAUCGUAAAACUCUGUUAUUAGUGAAGAACAAAUGUGUCAGUACCUAUGCACGUCUUGACGGUUCCUAAUCAGACAGCCACGGCUAACUACGUGCCAGCAGCCGCGGUAAUACGUACGUGGCAAGCGUUAUCCGGAAUUAUUGGGCGUACAGCGCGCGCAGCGGUUUUUUAACUCUGAUGUGAAAUCCCCCGGCUCAACCUGGGAGGGUCAUUGGAGACUGGAUAACUUGAUUGCAGAAGAGGAGAAUGGAAUUCCAUGUGUAGCGGUGAAAUGCGCAGAUAUGUGGAGGAACACCGAUGGCGAAGGCGACUUUCUGGACCGGUACUGACGCUCAUGCGCGAAAGCGUGGGGAUCAAACAGGAUUAGAUACCCUGGUAGUCCACGCCCUAAACGAUGACUGCUGGUUGUUGGGGGGUUUCCGCCCCUUAGUGCAGCAGCGAAGGCAAUAAGCGAUCUUCAUGGCGAGUGGGGCCGCACGGCAGAAACUCAAAUCAAUUGAAGGGGAGCCGCACAACCCAAGGAGCAGAUGAUUUAAUUUAAAGCAACGCGAAGAGCAAUACCUAAUCUACACAUCAUCAUGUCCCCUAUCGAGAUAGAAUUUUCCCCUUCUGGAGACAGAGCCACAACUCAGGCAUGGCAGUCCUCUGCUCAUGUCGUGUGAUGAGAGGUUAAGUCAAGUAACGAGCGCAACCCAUCCGCUUACUUUCCAUCAUUAAAAAGGGCACUCUAAGUUGACUGCCGGUGACAAACCGGAGGAAGGUGGGGAUGACGUCAAAUCAUCAUGCCCCUUAUGAUUUGGGCUACACACGUCAUACAAUGGCCAAUACAAAGGGUAGCCAACCCGCGAGGUCGAGCAAAUCCCAUAAAGCCGUUCUCAGUUCGGAUUGUAGUCUGCAACUCGACUAUAUGAAGUUGGAAUCGCUAGUAAUCGUAGAUCAGCAUGCUACGGUGAAUACGAUCCCGGGUCU